CUUGAUCAACACAAUACAAUACAAUACUCCAAAUGGGGAACACUGCAGUGCUUUUAGGGAAACAACAAAAAGGAACAAAAGAAGCCGAGGACAGAGACUAGAUUUUUGGCCAGUCAGAGCCAGCCAACUAAAGUGAUGCAGCUAUUACUUCAUCUGGUAACCUUCAGCUCUUCCCUUACACUGCAUGCAGCAAGUAAGUGUGGAAGUAGCUGCAACUGGGUGCAAAUUAAAACUGGAAGCUGCUGUGAAACCUUAAAGGUCAUUAUUACAAAGGCUGCGGAAGAACACUGCUAGUGCAAUUAACACUCUAAUGCCAUUUGGAGUGUGACAGGAACUCCUGAGAGCCAGUGUUCCACAUCUGAAAGCAGAAAAGAAAUAACAAAGAAGAUACAAGAUAGAGCCAACGAAAUUAAAAAUGACUUUUAACGCCUGUGGUAAGAAGGAACUUGUCUUAAGCUGUGGAGCUGUUAGUUGUGUAACAAGAAUAUACAUUCCAAUAAAAUUGACCUUUCUAUUGAUCUACUUUUAAAUUAGGGGAAAAAAAUAAAAAUUCUA
Lepisosteus oculatus (spotted gar) is the source of this 555-nucleotide non-coding RNA. Lineage: Eukaryota; Metazoa; Chordata; Actinopteri; Semionotiformes; Lepisosteidae. The record is from RefSeq and is a predicted model, not a curated record.